Gossypium raimondii (Peruvian cotton) is the source of this 719-nucleotide long non-coding RNA. RefSeq lists it as uncharacterized. Lineage: Eukaryota; Viridiplantae; Streptophyta; Magnoliopsida; Malvales; Malvaceae. The record is from RefSeq and is a predicted model, not a curated record. The transcript is spliced from 2 exons.
UAUGUUAAUAAGCAUUAAAUUACAUGUGUUUUAAAUGCUUUAUUAUAAUUGUGAUGAUACAACUCCAGAAAAAUAUUCAACGAAGUUUCGAUGACGUAAGGAUCCCGGUUGAACCUUAAGAAUAGAUAAGAUACAAAUAACAUGUCAUUAUGGGUUACCGUGUUUUGGGUACUGGUCUUGUACGUCCUACCAUUGGCUGCGUUUUUGACAUGUGUUGCGGUUACUUUACAGCUUGUGUGAGCAGCACUGUGUAGCUACAUCUUGAUUGGCAGCUUGUGUAAGCAGACCCAGUGAUGGCUCGAGAGUGAGCAUCUAUAUGAGAUGUGAGAUAGAUGUGGUUUUAACCAUGUAUUUGCACUUAGUGUGCGAGAUACCCGGGUAUCUAAUAGUAUUCCAAAUGGUUCAACGGGCACAAUGACGAUUUUGGAAGUUGGUUACGAGCUCGGGGACCGUCAGCAAAGUCUAUCACACUAUCGACAUCUUUUGGGUACUUUGAUAAAAAAAAUUAAACUCGAUAUUAUGGCAUGUAUAGGCUUGCUUAUGUUUUUGGUUAGUUUUGGAACAGGUAUAUAAAUGGCCAUGCGAAAAUGGCUCAUUUUAUUUUGAUCGAGUUUGGUGUUUAUGCAUAUGGUCUUAAUGGUCAUGGAAAUGGGGUUUAUAAUUAUUCAUAUUGAAUUAUGGUAUAAGUUUGUGAUAUGAUAAUAAAUGUGAUAUAUAUA